GAGGGGUUGGGCCAAAGGUACCUUUGAGGAAGGAUCAGAGUUGGUGCUGGAAACGCAACAGCAGCUCAGACAGCGUCCGCCUGGCAUGAAAAUAAACAUUUCGGACAAAAGGCCUUCAUCAGAAUGUCCCACGCUCCUCGGCACCACUCUAACCCUCAGCAUCUGCAGUAACCACCUCCACUUCUGAGGAAGAAUCUCUCCACCUAAAACGUGAACUCCGCCAGAUCCGCUGGGCUUUUCCACUAAGUUCUGAUUGUGUGUCUGUGGGGCAUUUCUGCCCUCCCUGCCUCCAUCAGUCCGUCCGUCCCUGCCCGGGGAACAUAAGCUGGUUGGUGUUCCCUCCCCCACAGUCUAUAUCCGAACAUUAACAGUGUUUUUGAUUUUAAUACCGUCACGGGACGGAUUUUUGUUUUAAACAAGCUCUCUGCGUCCAGUCCAGCCGAAAUCCCAGGGAAGACUAACCAACGGCCGUCACGCGGGUCCCGGUUUGAAAUGUUACGCAUGCGCAAGACCCACCCUCGCGCAGUGUCGGUUAAACGGCCGCGCUUGGAAAACCUGAAGGGCGGGAAUCGACUCCACCGCUGCCUCCGAUUGGGUAAGGGCCCUGUCAAUGUCAUGGUACCGGCCAAUAGGGAUUGCGGUCCCGCUUGGGUGCCGCCCCCUGGAGGUGAAUCCCUGGAGCUCCUGUGGGAUUAAAGCAGAGAUAACGGUUCCCAUCCGUUCACCCUUCGACACAACUAACAGCAGGCAGAAGCAAACCUGAGGUGAGAAUGCGUGUGAGAAACUAUCGAGAGAGCUGGGAACAAUGGAAUAUUUUCACCCUCCAACACCCAUGUGCAGUGGUGUGGGGCUGCCAGCAGAGGGCAUAUCACUUUCAACACAAGGGAGUAUUGUUGCGCUAUUUUCACUCUUCACCACAUGACAGGAAAUUUCCGAUAAGACUACAUUGGAGUAACAGCUCAUUGGAAUUGGGAAGUUUGAUGCUGAAAAAUAGAGAGCCCAGACACUUAUAUAUUCGAACACUCAGAAGAAUUUGAUUUUAAAGGAGACUUACGGAGGGUUCCAAGCUGAGAGGAAUUAUUUAGCAGGAAAUUCCAUUUCUUAAGCACAAUCCAAAGGAAUUGUCCAUGAUGGAGAAUCCACAGGUUUCCAAGUUAAACUCUCUCCUUGCACUGGUAUAAGGAUUCUGUGUCGGGAUGUGAUGAAAUAUCCUGCACUUGCCUGGAUUAGUGCAGCUACAACAAACACUCGAAGCUUGACACCAGCCUGUUUGAUUGACACCACAUCCACAAACAUUCAUUCCUUCCAACACCGACUAUCAAUAGCAGUAGUGUACCAUCUGCAUGAUGCACUGCAGAGACUCACCCAAGUUCUUCAGUCAGCACCUUCCAAACCCACAACCAUUUCCAUCUAGAAGUGCAGGUGCAGCAGAUACGUGGGAGCACCACCCAUUGCAAGUUUCCUUCCAACCCUCUCACCCUCUUGACUUGGAAAUAUAUUACGUCGUCUUUUGUGUUGCUGCAUCAAAAUCCUGGAAUUCCCUCCCUAACAACGUUGUGGGUCUAUGUACAGUCCAUGGGCUACAGCAGUUCAAGAAGGCAGCUCAGUGCUACGUUCUCAAAAAGCAGCUAGUGAUGGGUAAUAAAUGCUGGUCCCAGCCAGUGAUACUGACAUCCCACAAAUGAAUUAAAAAUACUAAUUUCAUAGUCUGGAAACAAUGGCAUCCUCCUGUGGGCUACACUGAGGUGUUGUAUUUGUUCAUAAUGUAAGGAAUUCAUGGAUUCAGUUAUUUUACUGCAUUUCUGAAAUUUGCUGCAUACCUAAACAACAAUGUGUUUGUGCAACAACUUAGGUUUUGCAGCACGAAACCAACUGCACUGAAGUCAUAUGGAAUAGGUAGGUAAUCAUCAAGAUUAAAUCCAUGAAUGACAAAACGUAAGAAAUAUAAAACGUUGAUUGAACACAGGAAGACAGAGCUCUCAGAUUUGUUGAAGAGCAAAAUCACAGACAUCCGUCAGCUUUCCAUCUCUGGGUCCCUGCGAUCCUCUCCUUGUUCUCACCGUUCAGCCUCUUCUGAACUUGAGUGGUCACUAAAACGUGUCUGAUUGUCAGAGCAUUGCGCAGCAGAAUUAAAGCGAAUUAAAGAGGUUAAGACCAUAUGA
Long non-coding RNA from Hemiscyllium ocellatum (epaulette shark), 2162 nucleotides. RefSeq lists it as uncharacterized. Lineage: Eukaryota; Metazoa; Chordata; Chondrichthyes; Orectolobiformes; Hemiscylliidae. The transcript is spliced from 4 exons. The record is from RefSeq and is a predicted model, not a curated record.